This 77-nucleotide transfer RNA is filed under the name Opitutus sp. RNAcentral describes it as "tRNA-Pro". It matches the Rfam family "tRNA". Rfam says of the family: Transfer RNA (tRNA) molecules are approximately 80 nucleotides in length. Their secondary structure includes four short double-helical elements and three loops (D, anti-codon, and T loops). Lineage: Bacteria; Pseudomonadati; Verrucomicrobiota; Opitutia; Opitutales; Opitutaceae. The record is from RNAcentral. RNAcentral also lists the same sequence under 4 other names.
CGGGACGUAGCUUAGCCUGGUAGAGCGCUACAUUCGGGUUGUAGAGGUCGAGAGUUCGAAUCUCUCCGUCCCGACCA